UGGGGAAUCUUGCACAAUGGGGGAAACCCUGAUGCAGCGACGCCGCGUGAGUGAUGAAGCCCUUCGGGGUGUAAAGCUCUUUCGGCAGGGACGAUAAUGACGGUACCUGAAGAAGAGGCUGCGGCUAACUACGUGCCAGCAGCCGCGGUAAUACGUAGGCAGCGAGCGUUGUUCGGAGUUACUGGGCGUAAAGAGUGCGUAGGCGGUUUUCUAAGUUUGGUGUGAAAUCUCCCGGCUUAACUGGGAGGGUGCGCCGAAGACUGGAAGGCUAGAGUAUGGGAGAGGUAAGCGGAAUUCCUGGUGUAGCGGUGAAGUGCGUAGAUAUCAGGAGGAACACCUGCGGUGUAGACGGCUUACUGGACCAUAACUGACGCUGAGGCACGAAAGCGUGGGUAGCAAACAGGAUUAGAUACCCUGGUAGUCCACGCCCUAAACGAUGCAUACUUGGUGUGGGUAGUUCAUUCUAUCCGUGCCGGAGCUAACGCGUUAAGUAUG
RNAcentral lists this ribosomal RNA (495 nucleotides) under uncultured Acidobacteriota bacterium. RNAcentral's name for it is "bacterial SSU rRNA". It matches the Rfam family "Bacterial small subunit ribosomal RNA", at positions 355 to 868 of the family's 1533-position model. The record is from RNAcentral. Lineage: Bacteria; Pseudomonadati; Acidobacteriota.